RNAcentral lists this long non-coding RNA (2323 nucleotides) under Homo sapiens (human). RNAcentral's name for it is "HSALNT0313709". Lineage: Eukaryota; Metazoa; Chordata; Mammalia; Primates; Hominidae. The record is from RNAcentral.
UGAAGUUAUUGAGAAGAGAUUAAUAAAAGGACUGUUUACAAGGUUGUGAGUGGGGCAAUGUAAAACCAACAAGGAAUGACAGAGCAUGUUGGCUAACAACAGCUAUUGCACCCCACGCCUGGAGGAGUAUAGGGAAGAAACAGUUACUAGAACCCCAAGAGAAAGGAGAAACUGAAGGAGGGGAUGCCUGGCUGGAGCUGUGGCCUUCAAUAGUGGAACACCGCUACAACCAGCCUGGCAGGGAGGCUUCUGUGGAUUUCUGAGAGAGCGGAGGAGGAGCAUGUACAAUCACCACAAGCUCCAUGGCUGACCAGCACAGGCAUUAGGCAGAAAAGUCAGAAAAGUGUUGUAUAAGAUUCACAUAGAAAUAAGGACAAGAACAAGAACUGCACAAGAGUUGACACUGGAGACUGGAAUGCUACUCAAAGAACAGAAUUCCCCCAAACAUCCAAGAUGACCCCUAGCAACUGAAUUAUCUUGACAUCACCUCAGCAGUAGAGUGCUGUUAGAUUUUGUGCCAUGCUGUCCAUAUCGCACCGGCCAGUCUACAUGUUAUUUGACUUUGAGUUCACUUCCCACUUUUGGCAAGCCUGGCUGUUGUUCUGUAGCAGGGUAACACAGGCUAAGAAUUGAGAUAUGUCAACUUAAGGAUUCACCGUGGUCAAGUUUCCUCUGCAGAAGACCAUGGAAGUGUGUCAUGGGCAUUCUGACUCUUGCCUUCUUCAAAAUAGCCCCACUAACAGAUGUCAGCAACUGAUUCCUUUGGAAGGAUAAACAAAUGGUAUAACCAGAUAAGGCUUUGAAGGCUUUGCAAUGGACCCCAAAUUAUAACUAGUUACACAGAAAUUUAAAGAAUGGAAUGAAUCUCUGUUUGGAUAGAUGUCCUAUAUAUUGCAGGCAUAACAGAACUGACCUUCCUCCCAGCCCUGUCGUGAGGAUGAAAUCCUGUGUGGAGCACUUUGAAAUCUUUGGAUGAAAAGCACGACAGAAGUGCCAAGUAUGAUUGUUACCCGUGCCAGCCACACUAGAAGACAGCAUAAAAAUAGGAAGCAAAGAAAAUUUCAUUUUACAAAAGCUUCAGUGAGAAAAUUGGCUGGUCAGAAUGUCAUUCCCUAGUUUUGGUUCACAUACACGUUGUCUUUUAUAAAAUUAAAGGAAAAAAAUAAUUGUACACAUUUUUGUCUUUGCCGGGAAGAAGCCCUUUGAUCAUCACCAUCCCUGCGACGCCAGGUGAGUCCCUGAUGCAGAAGGAAGAUCGAUACAUGAGGAGACCGUGUGGAAUCAGUUAUUUGUAGUUGCUCCCCAAUUUCUGUUUUUCAUUGCAAGGAAUCGAAGCCAUAAAGUCUGAGGGGGUGUUACAGGUUGAGGAUUAGGGAGUGUCUAAACCUUGACAUCGUCACAACAUAGGAUCCGAGAUACCUCCAGCUAAAACAGAGACUGUGCUUUCAGAACUGGCCCUGCACGCAGCCUCUACUCCAGUGCUCUCAGGUCCUGUCCUUAAUAGGAGAACAUGAGAGCUGCAGAUUUAAAAACCCAAGAGGGAACCUUUGCAACAACCUUUGUUAUAUUAGGAAUCCCAAAAUAAGCUAGAAGAGAGGAAUUUGAAUGUUCUCAACACAAAUGAUAAAUGUUUGAGAUGAUGGAUAUGCUAAAUACACUUAUUUGAUCAUUAAACAUCGUAUACAGAGGGCUCCCAUAAUUGUAUAAGCCUCAUGCCUCACAAAACCUGAAGGUGCCUUUGGUGAGGAGGAUCAUCAGAACACCAGCAGAGUACCUCGACGUGUGAAAUCUAGCACUGGAUUCCAUCCCUGACUUUUCCUAAGAAUCACUGUGAAUGCUCUGGACAAAUUGCUGCUGCGCUGGGUGCUCCCUGUGUCAUCACACUUCCUAAUUGUACUUCUGGGUCCUCUGAAGCUGUUCCCAGUGCUUAAUCGGUUCCCAGAUGUAGCAAAUAAAAAUAGAGGAUAUCCAGUUAUAUCUGAAUUUCAGAUCAAAACAAAUGAUUUUUAAAUAAAACAUACACUCCCAAAAGUGUGAAAUUAAUUUGUCCUUGGACAAGAGAUAUGGAAAUGUCAUGUAUUUUACCUGGAAAUCCUGUUAUUAUGCCCAUUUUUGGAGCUGAGGAAACUAAAGGUAGGAGCCUAGCUAAGAGAAGACAAUCUCCAGGAAACUACUGCUUCAGUUAUUUGACACUGGGCAGAAUUUUUGGUGAGAAAUCAGCAAGAUCAUAGCCUGGAGUGAACACUGGAGGCAUGAGAUGUCCUUGAGAAAGAGGCUAGAACAGAGGGUGGAACGCCCCUUCUAUUAAAGCAGUUGUUUUCCA